This 430-nucleotide long non-coding RNA is filed under the name Piliocolobus tephrosceles (Ugandan red Colobus). Its description in RNAcentral is "lncRNA (ENSPTEG00000006791.1)". Lineage: Eukaryota; Metazoa; Chordata; Mammalia; Primates; Cercopithecidae. The record is from RNAcentral.
GAUUCUAGCCCUACGUGGUAUGAGUUCCAGACUGGAGGUGGAGGGAGGGAUAAGAGCAGCCUCCGUGAAGAUGUGAUUCUUGAUCUGAGACUUGCAGGGUCAGCAGCUACUUGUCCAACAGAUGGGAGAGUGGGAAAAGGGAGAGGAAGGAGAUAAACAGUCCCUCAGGACUCAAGCGGAAUAUUUUUUAGCAUCUUGCACUUUUGGCAGUGGGAGUCCAGAAAUGAACCAGAUGCAUCCUUGGCCAUGGAGGAACACCCAACCUAACUGGAGAGACAAAGGUGGAGAAGGAGAGAUGACUGGGCCUGGUUGUGUCGGCUUUGGGGUCCCACCAUCUUGGAGCCUGUGCUUCUGGUUUGCCUGGGAAUGCAAGGUGUUUGGAGACUGCCCAGGUGAGCGGCCUGGGUGCUGGCAUGACCCUUGCUGCUGA